CCUACGGGUGGCAGCAGUCGAGAAUCAUUCACAAUGGGGGAAACCCUGAUGGUGCGACGCCGCGUGGGGGAAUGAAGGUCUUCGGAUUGUAAACCCCUGUCAUGUGGGAGCAAAUUAAAAAGAUAGUACCCCAAGAGGAAGAGACGGCUAACUCUGUGCCAGCAGCCGCGGUAAUACAGAGGUCUCAAGCGUUGUUCGGAAUCACUGGGCGUAAAGCGUGCGGAGGCUGUUUCGUAAGUCGUGUGUGAAAGGCGCGGGCUCAACCCGCGGACGGCACAUGAUACUGCGAGACUAGAGUAAUGGAGGGGGAACCGGAAUUCUCGGUGUAGCAGUGAAAUGCGUAGAUAUCGAGAGGAACACUCGUGGCGAAGGCAGGUUCCUGGACAUUAACUGACGCUGAGGCACGAAGGCCAGGGGAGCGAAAGGGAUUAGAUACCCCAGUAGUC
Molecule: ribosomal RNA, 446 nt
Filed under: uncultured bacterium
Lineage: Bacteria
Description: partial 16S ribosomal RNA
Rfam family: Bacterial small subunit ribosomal RNA
Source: RNAcentral